Molecule: ribosomal RNA, 484 nt
Filed under: uncultured bacterium
Lineage: Bacteria
Description: partial 16S ribosomal RNA
Rfam family: Bacterial small subunit ribosomal RNA
Source: RNAcentral
AUUGAACGCUGGCGGCGGGCCUAACACAUGCAAGUCGAGCGGAAGAAGGGAGCUUGCUCCUGGAUUCAGCGGCGGACGGGUGAGUAAUGCCUAGGAAUCUGCCUGUUAGUGGGGGAUAACGUCCGGAAACGGGCGCUAAUACCGCAUACGUCCUGAGGGAGAAAGUGGGGGAGCUUCGGACCUCACGCUAUCAGAUGAGCCUAGGUCGGAUUAGCUCGUUGGUGGGGUAAAGGCCUACCAAGGCGACGAUCCGUAACUGGUCUGAGAGGAUGAGCAGUCACACUGGAACUGAGACACGGUCCAGACUCCUACGGGAGGCAGCAGUGGGGAAUAUUGGACAAUGGGCGAAAGCCUGAUCCAGCCAUGCCGGGUGUGUGAAGAAGGUCUUCGGAUUGUAAAGCACUUUAAGUUGGGAGGAAGGGCAGUAAGUUAAUCCCUUGCUGUUUUGACGUUACCAACAGAAUAAGCACCGGCUAACUUCGUG